AGGCUAGAGAUUCUUUCAUUCACGGAACUCAUCACGUUUGGAAGGCAGCCAUGCUCAUCUCUCUACCACCAAAGCACGCUGAACUCAUCCCAUUUGGAUAGACCUCUUGGUGUUUGGUUUGAGAAAACAACCAUUGGCACAAAGUUGAUGAACUUCCACGCACGCACACAGGAGUUUGCUGUAAAAAAUGUUUGGAAAUGAUGGCCAUACUUCCUUUAACCAGCCUUUCAUUAAUAGACAUUUAAGUUUUUUGCUGUAGUGAUUUUAAAAUACAUCCAUACAUUCUUUGACAUUCUUUUUCUCCAAGAUGGAGCCUAAUUUCUGUCCCCUUGAGUGUGGGCUAGAUUUGGUGAUUCACUUCCAAAGAACAGAAUAUGGUAGAAAUGGCAGUGUGUGACUUCUGAGACAGUCGUAUAAGACAUUGUGGCUUUGCCCUGGAACUUGGAUCAUGGUCUACAUGUUCUAUGUAGGACAUCAGCCGCCAUGUUGUAAGGGCACUCAAGCAAUCCUCUGGAGAGGAAGCCAGUCUUUCACCAAAAGCCAGAACCACCAUGUCACCUUGGAUGUGGACCCUUCAGCUCUAGUGAAGCCUUCAGAUGACUGCAGCCCCAUGAAGGAACCAGAGACAAACUAUCCUGUUGCAGUUUUCCUAAAUUUCUGACCUGUAGAAACCAUGGAAGAUAGUAAAUGUUUACUGUGGUUUUAAGCAGCUACAUUUUCAGAAAUUUUGUUAUGUAUUUCUGUAAUAGAUAAGUAAUGUACUUCUUAUCUUUUAUUAUUAUAAAUAUUCCAGUAAAGAAA
Molecule: non-coding RNA, 801 nt
Organism: Leptonychotes weddellii (Weddell seal)
Lineage: Eukaryota; Metazoa; Chordata; Mammalia; Carnivora; Phocidae
Source: RefSeq, a predicted model, not a curated record